CAACCCUCAAGCCCCAGUGGCCUGGUGUUGGGGACCGGCGACCUCGCCCGGGGGAACACCCCCGGCGCGUCCGCCGCCCCCGAAAUGAAUUGGCGGCCCCGUCGCGGCCUCCUCUGCGUAGUAAGUAGCACAACCUCGCAGCGGGAGCGCGACGCGGCCACUGCCGUAAAACGCCCAACUUUUUUUAG
Molecule: unclassified non-coding RNA, 188 nt
Filed under: uncultured Pochonia
Lineage: Eukaryota; Fungi; Ascomycota; Sordariomycetes; Hypocreales; Clavicipitaceae
Description: sequence contains ITS2
Source: RNAcentral